This 460-nucleotide ribosomal RNA is filed under the name uncultured bacterium. RNAcentral's name for it is "partial 16S ribosomal RNA". It matches the Rfam family "Bacterial small subunit ribosomal RNA", at positions 338 to 795 of the family's 1533-position model. The record is from RNAcentral.
CCUCCUUUCUUCCGCCGUUCUUACUAUUGUUCCCUGGCCGGCCGGCUGAACCAGCCAUGCCGCGUGAAGGUCAGUGCCCUAUGGGCGUUAAACUUCUUUUGUGCGGGAGCAAUAAUGGUCACGUGUGGCCAGACGAGAGUACCGUACGAAUAAGCAUCGGCUAACUCCGUGCCAGCAGCCGCGGUAAUACGGGGGAUGCAAGCGUUAUCCGGAUUUAUUGGGUUUAAAGGGUGUGUAGGCUGUGAGGUAAGUCAGCGGUGAAAUGCCCCCGCUCAACGGGGUGAAGUGCCAUUGAUACUGCCUUGCUGGAAUGCGGAUGCCGUGGGAGGAAUGUGUGGUGUAGCGGUGAAAUGCAUAGAUAUCACACAGAACACCGAUUGCGAAGGCAUCUCACGAAUCCGCGAUUGACGCUGAUGCACGAAAGCGUGGGUAUCAAACAGGAUUAGAUACCCGUGUAGUC